Molecule: ribosomal RNA, 492 nt
Filed under: uncultured bacterium
Lineage: Bacteria
Description: bacterial SSU rRNA
Rfam family: Bacterial small subunit ribosomal RNA
Source: RNAcentral
CUACGUGCCAGCAGCCGCGGUAAUACGUAGGGCGCGAGCGUUGUCCGGAAUUAUUGGGCGUAAAGAGCUUGUAGGCGGUUUGUCGCGUCUGCUGUGAAAGGCCGGGGCUUAACCCCGUGUAUUGCAGUGGGUACGGGCAGACUAGAGUGCAGUAGGGGAGACUGGAACUCCUGGUGUAGCGGUGGAAUGCGCAGAUAUCAGGAAGAACACCGAUGGCGAAGGCAGGUCUCUGGGCUGUAACUGACGCUGAGAAGCGAAAGCAUGGGGAGCGAACAGGAUUAGAUACCCUGGUAGUCCAUGCCGUAAACGUUGGGCACUAGGUGUGGGGGACAUUCCACGUUUUCCGCGCCGUAGCUAACGCAUUAAGUGCCCCGCCUGGGGAGUACGGCCGCAAGGCUAAAACUCAAAGAAAUUGACGGGGGCCCGCACAAGCGGCGGAGCAUGCGGAUUAAUUCGAUGCAACGCGAAGAACCUUACCAAGGCUUGACAUGC